GGGUAUGGCUGUUCGCCAUUUAAAGUGGUACGCGAGCUGGGUUUAGAACGUCGUGAGACAGUUCGGUCCCUAUCUGCCGUGGACGUUUGAGAUUUGAGAGGGGCUGCUCCUAGUACGAGAGGACCGGAGUGGACGAACCUCUGGUGUUCCGGUUGUCACGCCAGUGGCAUUGCCGGGUAGCUAUGUUCGGAAGAGAUAACCGCUGAAAGCAUCUAAGCGGGAAACUUGCCUCAAGAUGAGAUCUCACUGGGAUCUUGAAUCCCCUAAAGGGCCGUCGAAGACUACGACGUUGAUAGGUUGGGUGUGUAAGCGCUGUGAGGCGUUGAGCUAACCAAUACUAAUUGCCCGUGAGGCUUGACCAU
RNAcentral lists this ribosomal RNA (362 nucleotides) under Staphylococcus aureus. RNAcentral's name for it is "partial 23S ribosomal RNA". It matches the Rfam family "Bacterial large subunit ribosomal RNA", at positions 2569 to 2925 of the family's 2925-position model. The record is from RNAcentral. Lineage: Bacteria; Bacillati; Bacillota; Bacilli; Caryophanales; Staphylococcaceae.